RNAcentral lists this ribosomal RNA (253 nucleotides) under uncultured bacterium. Its description in RNAcentral is "partial 16S ribosomal RNA". It matches the Rfam family "Bacterial small subunit ribosomal RNA", at positions 524 to 776 of the family's 1533-position model. The record is from RNAcentral.
UACGUAGGGUGCGAGCGUUAAUCGGAAUUACUGGGCGUAAAGCGUGCGCAGGCGGUUUUGUAAGUCUGACGUGAAAUCCCCGGGCUUAACCUGGGAAUGGCAGUGGAAACUAGGCGACUUGAAUCUGGCAGAGGGGGGUGGAAUGCCACGUGUAGCAGUGAAAUGCGUAGAGAUGUGGCGGAACACCGAUGGCGAAGGCAGCCCCCUGGGUCGAGAUUGACGCUCAGGCACGAAAGCGUGGGGAGCAAACAGG